AUUGAACGCUGGCGGCAUGCUUUACACAUGCAAGUCGAACGGCAGCACGAAAGAGCUUGCUCUUUUGGUGGCGAGUGGCGAACGGGUGAGUAAUGCAUCGGAACGUACCGAGUAAUGGGGGAUAACUAUCCGAAAGGAUAGCUAAUACCGCAUACGCUCUGAGAAGGAAAGUGGGGGCUCUUCGGACCUCACGUUAUUCGAGCGGCCGAUGUCUGAUUAGCUAGUUGGUGGGGUAAAGGCCUACCAAGGCGACGAUCAGUAGCGGGUCUGAGAGGAUGAUCCGCCACACUGGGACUGAGACACGGCCCAGACUCCUACGGGAGGCAGCAGUGGGGAAUUUUGGACAAUGGGCGCAAGCCUGAUCCAGCCAUGCCGCGUGUCUGAAGAAGGCCUUCGGGUGAAA
RNAcentral lists this ribosomal RNA (403 nucleotides) under Kingella oralis. RNAcentral describes it as "bacterial SSU rRNA". It matches the Rfam family "Bacterial small subunit ribosomal RNA", at positions 30 to 428 of the family's 1533-position model. Lineage: Bacteria; Pseudomonadati; Pseudomonadota; Betaproteobacteria; Neisseriales; Neisseriaceae. The record is from RNAcentral.